This 482-nucleotide ribosomal RNA is filed under the name uncultured Flammeovirgaceae bacterium. RNAcentral describes it as "bacterial SSU rRNA". It matches the Rfam family "Bacterial small subunit ribosomal RNA", at positions 28 to 505 of the family's 1533-position model. The record is from RNAcentral. Lineage: Bacteria; Pseudomonadati; Bacteroidota; Cytophagia; Cytophagales; Flammeovirgaceae.
GAUGAACGCUAGCGGCAGGCUUAAUACAUGCAAGUCGAGGGGUAACAGGAGAGCUUGCUUUUGCUGACGACCGGCGCACGGGUGCGUAACGCGUAUGCAACCUACCUAUAACUGAGGGAUAGCCCAGAGAAAUUUGGAUUAAUACCUCAUAGUACUGUAAGAUCGCAUGGUUUAACAGUUAAAGAUUUAUUGGUUAUAGAUGGGCAUGCGUAUGAUUAGCUAGUUGGUAAGGUAAUGGCUUACCAAGGCGACGAUCAUUAGGGGUUCUGAGAGGAAGAUCCCCCACACUGGCACUGAGAUACGGGCCAGACUCCUACGGGAGGCAGCAGUAGGGAAUAUUGGUCAAUGGAGGCAACUCUGAACCAGCCAUGCCGCGUGCAGGAAGACGGCCUUCUGGGUUGUAAACUGCUUUUAUAAACGAGGAAAAGAUGUACGUGUACAUUUAUUGACGUUAGUUUAUGAAUAAGGACCGGCUAACUCCG